GACGAACGCUGGCGGCGUGCUUAACACAUGCAAGUCGAACGGAAAGGCCCUGCUUUUGUGGGGUGCUCGAGUGGCGAACGGGUGAGUAACACGUGAGUAACCUGCCCUUGACUUUGGGAUAACUUCAGGAAACUGGGGCUAAUACCGGAUAGGAGCUCCUGCUGCAUGGUGGGGGUUGGAACGUUUCGGCGGUUGGGGAUGGACUCGCGGCUUAUCAGCUUGUUGGUGGGGUAGUGGCUUACCAAGGCUUUGACGGGUAGCCGGCCUGAGAGGGUGACCGGCCACAUUGGGACUGAGAUACGGCCCAGACUCCUACGGGAGGCAGCAGUGGGGAAUAUUGCACAAUGGGCGGAAGCCUGAUGCAGCAACGCCGCGUGCGGGAUGACGGCCUGCGGGUUGUAAACCGCUUUCGCCUGUGACGAAGCGUGAGUGACGGUAAUGGGUAAAGAAGCACCGGCUAACUACGUG
RNAcentral lists this ribosomal RNA (468 nucleotides) under uncultured bacterium. RNAcentral describes it as "partial 16S ribosomal RNA". It matches the Rfam family "Bacterial small subunit ribosomal RNA", at positions 28 to 507 of the family's 1533-position model. The record is from RNAcentral.